GCUGUAGUGGGGUAGAGGUAACCUCAAUCGUUGCCAUAUAAUAUAUAGUCGAUUGGCCCCGUGUUCGAUUCACGGCUACAGCA
Cantharellus anzutake is the source of this 83-nucleotide non-coding RNA. Lineage: Eukaryota; Fungi; Basidiomycota; Agaricomycetes; Cantharellales; Hydnaceae. The record is from the annotation of a RefSeq genome assembly.